UAACGUUGUAAGGGUCCUACACUAUGGGU
This 29-nucleotide non-coding RNA is filed under the name Homo sapiens (human). The record is from RNAcentral. Lineage: Eukaryota; Metazoa; Chordata; Mammalia; Primates; Hominidae.